Molecule: long non-coding RNA, 256 nt
Organism: Cyprinus carpio carpio
Lineage: Eukaryota; Metazoa; Chordata; Actinopteri; Cypriniformes; Cyprinidae
Source: Ensembl
GCCCCCACAACUUUGAUGAAAAAUAAGAAUACUAAACCCUAAAUAGCCAACUUCCUGUUGGGCGGAGCCUAUGACAUGCAGUACGAAAGUUGUUUGGCUUGAUGAGAUCUAUAUGUGUACCGAGUUUCAUACGUCUACGUGCAAGUAUGUAUGAUAUAUGGCCCUCCAUAUUCCAGGGGGCGCUGUAGAGCCCCUGUGCCACGCCCGUGUAUCAGUCUCUGCCCGGCCCUAAUGGCCGCAGGUUCCAAUGUGUGUG